RNAcentral lists this ribosomal RNA (253 nucleotides) under uncultured bacterium. RNAcentral describes it as "partial 16S ribosomal RNA". It matches the Rfam family "Bacterial small subunit ribosomal RNA", at positions 524 to 776 of the family's 1533-position model. The record is from RNAcentral.
UACGGAGGGUGCAAGCGUUAUCCGGAUUCACUGGGUUUAAAGGGUGCGUAGGCGGGUUGGUAAGUCCGUGGUGAAAUCCCCAAGCUUAACUUGGGAACUGCCGUGGAUACUAUCAAUCUUGAAUAUCGUGGAGGUAAGCGGAAUAUGUCAUGUAGCGGUGAAGUGCUAAGAUAUGACAUAGAACACCAAUUGCGUAGGCAGCUUACUACACGAUCAUUGACGCUGAGGCACGAAAGCGUGGGGAGCAAACAGG